RNAcentral lists this ribosomal RNA (774 nucleotides) under uncultured Neocallimastigales. RNAcentral describes it as "partial large subunit ribosomal RNA". It matches the Rfam family "Eukaryotic large subunit ribosomal RNA", at positions 23 to 621 of the family's 3401-position model. The record is from RNAcentral. Lineage: Eukaryota; Fungi; Neocallimastigomycota; Neocallimastigomycetes; Neocallimastigales.
AGAGAUGUGUGAUGACGCAUAUCAAUAAGCGGAGGAAAAGAAACUAACUAGGAUUCCCUCAGUAACGGCGAGUGAAGCGGGAAGAGCUCAAAUUUGAAAUCUUCAAGGUUCUACCUUGACGAAUUGUAGUUUAAAGAAGUGUUUUCUGUUGGAGUUUUGGUAAAAGUUCUUUGGAAUAGGACAUCAUAGAGGGUGAGAAUCCCGUAUUUGACCAUUAUUUCCAACUUUGUGAUACACUUUCAAAGAGUCGGAUUGUUUGGGAAUGCAGUCCAAAAUGGGUGGUAAAUUUCAUCUAAAGCUAAAUACUGGCGAGAGACCGAUAGCGAACAAGUACCGUGAGGGAAAGAUGAAAAGAACUUUGAAAAGAGAGUUAAACAGUACGUGAAAUUGUCAAAAGGGAAGCGUUUGACACCAGUGUUGUUUUUCCGAAAAUCAAUUACGAAUGUUUUGUUUUUAAGAAGUUAUGACUUCAUCGGCUUGCUUCUUUCUUUACGAAACUUUCUUAAUGCACUUUUCGGUUAACAAGUCAACAUCAAUUUCUUUUGUUGUAAAAGGGUAUGAGGAAGGUGGCUUUCUUUUCGGAGAAAGUGUUUAUAGCCUUGUGCCUCUGCAAUCGGAGAGAUUGAGGUCUGCAGCGUAGAUCCUUCGGGGUUAGAUACGUUUGUGCUAAGUUAUAGCUUUUCAUAGACAACUUGUUGACUAUGUUUAGUCUUGUAGCUUACUCGCUUAUGCUAUUUUACCUACGCUUAGGAUGUUGAACUCUAUCACACACAG